UCAGUCAAUGUAUUAGAACGAAGUUUGCACUGGACAAGCAGCUCUGAGUGAGCCUCUCUCCUGUAAUCCCAGCACCUGGGAAACUGAGCACGCUCCAGCCCGAAGGUAGGAAGCUUGUACUGGCCUACAACUAAGACACUCAGAGUAUUCUGGUAUGUGUGGUGGAGGGACGAGCCUGGGAAUAGCCCAUGGUCUCACGGUGCGGGCUGUGCCAGAUGAAGUAGCGCUGUAGGGCAAGCUGUCCCGUAUCUGCAAAACCCAGACUUUCCUGCUGUUUGCAUCUGCACGGAAGUUGGAAGAAGGCAAAGAGUUGGGGCUAGCAGGCUGGGGGGCUGAGCCUGGGGCCAGGAGAGUCCCAAGAAGCAAGUUUUCUGUUUGUUACGUUCCAUCACAUGCUUCAAAGUGGGGGCACAACCAGGCUAAAAUGGCCUAAAGGAUUGUGGCUGUAACCGAGGCACCUCAGACUGCUG
Molecule: long non-coding RNA, 470 nt
Filed under: Mus musculus (house mouse)
Lineage: Eukaryota; Metazoa; Chordata; Mammalia; Rodentia; Muridae
Description: lincRNA-EC157
Source: RNAcentral